AAAAAAAAAACCUACGAUCGAUGCCUCGUGCCCACAGCAGAUCGUUCUCCGCCGCCCUCCCAUCGAUCUGCCGCCGAUCCCUGCGGAGCUUCCCUCCCCAAUCCGAUCUGACGGAGAGAGUGCCAGAUCCGGCCGGGGGAGCCGCCGUAGAGCCUCCACGUCGGUGGAGCAGCACCUCCUGCCACGGGCGCCGCCGCCACCUCCUGCCUCACGACCCUUUGCCGCGACUCCGCCCCCAAGCGCGGCUCCCGCACGCAACCCGAACCCUAUCCCGCCAUGCCUCGCUGCCUCGCCGCUUGAGCCGCGCUGAUGGAGCCCGAGCAGCGGUGGCCGACCCCGUCGCCGCCGCCGAGCCUGUGGACGAGGAGAAGGAGAAGGAGGAGGAGACGGAGGCGGCCGAGGACGAGGAGGACACGCUGCUGGACCGCGCGCAGCCUGAUCUCACGGGUCCCUUUGCACAUGUGCAGUUCGUCAAUGGACCAAUGCCUAAUCUCCCCAAGGUUGAUGUUUCACUGGACCCGGUGAAGGAGUUGAGCAGAGUAAUAUCUGAGCGAAAAAAUUGAGGGGCGUGCUUUGGUUGUGCUCUCAGCCAGGUUAUUUUACGAGGGUUGUGUGCACUGAACCCCAUUUCUCUGGACCAAGGGACGAUGAACAAGAUGGGAAUGAGGAGGAUGCUACUAAUCCGGAGUAGUAAUAUUGGAUUACAGGUCAUGGGUUAGUAGUUAACUGCAGAAAUCAGAAUAUUGGAUAGCAGUAACUAAGGCCAUUGGCAAUUUCUAUCAUAUAUCAUAAUUUAUUUGUGUGAUUCCUUUACCAACUACAUGUUUCUAUUUGUUUCCUAUAUUUUGUUUGUUCCUGAAUAUUUUAUGAAUUGUGUAUUUCUAUUUUAAUACAUAAGACUCUUUUUCAUGCAAUUUACUCAAUGGCCUAUAUGAGAAGCCCUAAAUAAAGCUAUUCCUCAUUUGUACGCUUUCUUACUUAUAUAGAUCAAAAUAUGGAAUUCUCUGCAGGUUAACUAAUACAUGCAUCAGCUUUGUAUCAUAAAGAUUUCACCAUCCCAAGGUAAUGGAAAUAAGUUCACAAGAUUCUCAUGUUGAGGUCUGUACAAAGAGAUACAAGGCAAUGUCUGUGUGCUGGAAGGAGAAACUCACUGCCAAAGCUAUAAUCCCUGAUGCUAAAGCCUGCAUGUUCAGAUCUGCAGAGUUUACUCAUAUUACUGUAUGAAUGAUUAAUACAGAGGGAGCCCUUUUGUCAGGUCAUUUAAUCAUUAAAUCAUACGUACAUUAUCUCAGGUAACUUACUACUACCUUUGUUCGAAAAUAAGUGCCGUUAACUUAGUACACCUUUGCACUAAAAUUGUACUAAAUCCGUGACACUUAUUUUGGGACAGAGGGAGUAUUUCAUUUUCUACCUGAACCAAGUUGUUAUUUCAUUUCUAAGAGGCAAAGAGUUCCUCAUGGUUAGUUUGCCACAUUUUAUAUGUCUAUCUAUGUGCAUUACUAAUUCACUAUAUGCACCUUUAGUUCCCAGUUUUGGCUCACUUUCUUGAUGCAUCUCGGAUGAGAGGAAAGGAAUGGAUAAUCUGACAAGCAAUGUUCGGGCAUACCCUUAUAUUUACGUCUGAUGAAAUGCUGCGGGUGCAAACUAAUCAAGACUGCUGCCAUGAGCAAAAGAGCAGACAUUACUUAUGAGAAAACAAUAAAAGAAUCUUCCGUGACUACAUACCACGACGAGUCAAAGACGAUGAAAGCACUACUCCAUUGGUGGUGUUAGCAAGUGGAGUCUGGAGGGAGAACAACACAAAGUAGGAAAUUGAUUCCCUCGCCCUUGCUUGCUUCAACGACCCCGCCCGUCUUGGUGGGGUCGAUUCCCCCAUCGCCCGACUCAUCUCCGACGAGUAUGGCGUCAGUGGGUACGCCCCGCCGUUCGUAUGCUUGGCGGGUCCCAGAACACCCGUGACGUGUAUGAGCUUGACUAGGGCGAGGGGCUCGUGCUCGUGCUCGAGCUCGACAAGACGCACUUCGAUCUCGUCACCAACUACGAGCUGGACUGUGAGACUCCAGAGCAGGCGGGGGCGACGAAGACGAAAGUGGGGGCAGUUCGAGCUUGUCGCUGCCGGAGACCCUGGAGAGGUGCGCGAAGAGACCUGGUUAGAUUUGUUGGCCACCACUGGUAAACUGCACUAAUAACAAAUCGGAUGUCAUCUCUCAUGUUGCCGAUUCAACCCUGGAUGAUGUUGCGCGGCCCGCGGCCAUGGACGAUGUGCUGUUGGACAACGACGCGAGGCCGAGGCAGCCAAUGUGAAUGACCACUGGAAAUCAUUUACCUUUCAAUCUUGGAAGGCCCUAAGCUAAAGGAGAGCAUCAAUUGUCAUGAGAGAUAAGCAAUAUCUAUUAGACACGCAUACUAUCAGGCUAACGCAAACCACUCGGGAAUGAAGAACUUACUUCCCAACAAGGAAAGUCCAGUGAUUGGGCAACAACAUGUGGAAGGAUAAUUACUGGAUACUUUUUUUAGCGAAUAACUGCGGAGCGAUUUGCUGUCUCAAAACAUGAGACACAAUGAGGUGAAAGAGAUGUGAUGGACAUAGAAGAGUAAACCCAUGAGGACAAAGAGAUGUGAAGCACAUAGAAGGAGGAAGCAAGGACCUCGAUCCACAUUAUUGAAGACAUAGAUAAGAACAAGAGUAUCACACUUCACACAUCAACCAAUCAAUGACACAUGUUGGUAUUGGGGCAUAUCACCCUCCCUUGCAUUAUACCUGUUAAUAUUAAGAUGAAACACUUAGUUGGAUGCAUUUCUCUUAUAUUGUUCUAUGGCAACACCCGAGCAUUCUGCUAGAGAAGAUGCUCGGGUGUAGACAGAAUCAUAUAUUAUAUUAUUAUCAUUAGUAUCAACAUAUUUGUAAAUGUUUUCAUACUCAAUCUAUGAGGUUAGAUUCAACAC
This is a long non-coding RNA of Triticum aestivum (bread wheat), 2946 nucleotides long. RefSeq lists it as uncharacterized. Lineage: Eukaryota; Viridiplantae; Streptophyta; Magnoliopsida; Poales; Poaceae. The transcript is spliced from 10 exons. The record is from RefSeq and is a predicted model, not a curated record.